UGGUAAGCACCGACAAGAAUGAUGGGAAUGU
This 31-nucleotide non-coding RNA is filed under the name Rattus norvegicus (Norway rat). The record is from RNAcentral. Lineage: Eukaryota; Metazoa; Chordata; Mammalia; Rodentia; Muridae.